RNAcentral lists this ribosomal RNA (447 nucleotides) under uncultured bacterium. RNAcentral describes it as "partial 16S ribosomal RNA". It matches the Rfam family "Bacterial small subunit ribosomal RNA", at positions 29 to 523 of the family's 1533-position model. The record is from RNAcentral.
AACGAACGCUGGCGGCAGGCUUAACACAUGCAAGUCGAGCGCCCCGCAAGGGGAGCGGCAGACGGGUGAGUAACGCGUGGGAAUCUACCCAUCUCUACGGAAUAACGCAUGGAAACGUGUGCUAAUACCGUAUACGUCCUUCGGGAGAAAGGUUUAUCGGAGAUGGAUGAGCCCGCGUUGGAUUAGCUAGUUGGUGGGGUAAAGGCCUACCAAGGCGACGAUCCAUAGCUGGUCUGAGAGGAUGAUCAGCCACACUGGGACUGAGACACGGCCCAGACUCCUACGGGAGGCAGCAGUGGGGAAUAUUGGACAAUGGGCGCAAGCCUGAUCCAGCCAUGCCGCGUGAGUGAUGAAGGCCCUAGGGUUGUAAAGCUCUUUCACCGGUGAAGAUAAUGACGGUAACCGGAGAAGAAGCCCCGGCUAACUUCGUGCCAGCCGCCGCCGUAA